AUUCAGCCGUCAUCAUUAGCUUCAUUAUUUACACCUGUGCUUUCCCUACUGUGACAUAUCAAAAUGUCUUCUGUGGAAAAAAGGCAGACGGCAGACUUCAGUAUCAGGACUACUAAAAGGAAAAAAAUAAGUUGACAGAUUUCCUGCUGUGUCCCUUAACAAGCUGAAUGAUGGCGGAGUCACACCACAUGCAGUUUGGUAAACAGCGGAGAGUGACAAGACAGAUGGAAGCAGAGAGGAAGAAAGACAGACCAUUGGACAUGCAUAUCUUUGAGUAGUCUGGCGUUGAUGAAUGGCUGCCACAAGCUGUUCCUAUACAGCAGAAUGAAUACUACACACCUACACUGAAACAUAUUGGCUGGUCAGAAACCAACAAAUCUCUCUUAAAUCAUUCAAGUGUACUUUAAACUACAGAACCACAUAAAGGAAUUAAUCCAACAAGUUAUAUACACUGUAAAAAAAAUGUAAAAAUUACGUUUCAUUUGUGAUUAUAUGUAAAAGGUCUUAGAUUUACAGUAUUUUUGUAA
Sebastes umbrosus (honeycomb rockfish) is the source of this 527-nucleotide long non-coding RNA. RefSeq lists it as uncharacterized. The transcript has 3 exons. NCBI's taxonomy places the organism in Eukaryota, Metazoa, Chordata, Actinopteri, Perciformes, Sebastidae. The record is from RefSeq and is a predicted model, not a curated record.